This 432-nucleotide long non-coding RNA is filed under the name Pan troglodytes (chimpanzee). RNAcentral's name for it is "long non-coding RNA NONPTRT015902". The record is from RNAcentral. Lineage: Eukaryota; Metazoa; Chordata; Mammalia; Primates; Hominidae.
UAAGGAAGAGAGAAACGGGAAUGAGAAACAAUUACUGUGGGCUCCCAAUGGCCUGGAGUGAAUCACCAAAGUAACCUAAACAUGAAGUCAUGAAAAACUAAGUGGAUUCUGCCUUUUAGUACUUCCCAUCAUGGGGGAAGUCACCAGCGACCUCCUUACUGUAUUUUGGAUGAUUCAAGAAAUAGAAAGGUGUCCUACUGACUUCUGAAACAGGGUGUCUUCAUAUUGAUUAGGGUCACCGUAAGCCUGGGAGCUGAUGCUUACUCUCAGGCCAUUCUAAAGUCCUACAGUAUCCAGAUGAGAAACAAGAGAAAGCAUAAGCUUUGGAGUCCAAAGAUCAGGAUUUUAUCGUCAGCACUCCACACCUUAGCUAUAUAAUCUCAAAGCAGCCUGCACCUGUGGCCUCAUGGCGCAUUCUCUACAAUCAGUUGA